CCAGUGGUGAACUCCACAUACGCAUCCUUUGCUGAGGAUACGGUUAACGGAGCGAAAGCGACGUUCAACCGCAAAACAAGCAGAGGGGGCUUAGUGGUGGGGUGACUGCGUACCUUUUGUAUAAUGGGUCAGCGACUUAUAUUCUGUAGCAAGGUUAACCGAAUAGGGGAGCCGUAGGGAAACCGAGUCUUAACCGGGCGUUAAGUUGCAGGGUAUAGACCCGAAACCCGGUGAUCUAGCCAUGGGCAGGUUGAAGGUUGGGUAACACUAACUGGAGGACCGAACCGACUAAUGUUGAAAAAUUAGCGGAUGACCUGUGGCUGGGGGUGAAAGGCCAAUCAAACCGGGAGAUAGCUGGUUCUCCCCGAAAGCUAUUUAGGUAGCGCCUCGUGAAUUCAUCUCCGGGGGUAGAGCACUGUUUCGGCUAGGGGGCCAUCCCGGCUUACCAACCCGAUGCAAACUGCGAAUACCGGAGAAUGUUAUCACGGGAGACACACGGCGGGUGCUAACGUCCGUCGUGAAGAGGGAAACAACCCAGACCGCCAGCUAAGGUCCCAAAGUCAUGGUUAAGUGGGAAACGAUGUGGGAAGGCCCAGACAGCCAGGAUGUUGGCUUAGAAGCAGCCAUCAUUUAAAGAAAGCGUAAUAGCUCACUGGUCGAGUCGGCCUGCGCGGAAGAUGUAACGGGGCUAAACCAU
This 697-nucleotide ribosomal RNA is filed under the name Salmonella enterica subsp. enterica serovar Anatum. Its description in RNAcentral is "partial 23S ribosomal RNA". It matches the Rfam family "Bacterial large subunit ribosomal RNA", at positions 1 to 1190 of the family's 2925-position model. Lineage: Bacteria; Pseudomonadati; Pseudomonadota; Gammaproteobacteria; Enterobacterales; Enterobacteriaceae. The record is from RNAcentral.